This 431-nucleotide ribosomal RNA is filed under the name uncultured bacterium. Its description in RNAcentral is "partial 16S ribosomal RNA". It matches the Rfam family "Bacterial small subunit ribosomal RNA", at positions 29 to 507 of the family's 1533-position model. The record is from RNAcentral.
AACGAACGCUGGCGGCAGGCUUAACACAUGCAAGUCGAGCGCACCGCAAGGUGAGCGGCAGACGGGUGAGUAACGCGUGGGAAUCUACCCAACCCUACGGAAUAACCCAGGGAAACUUGGACUAAUGCCGUAUACGCCCUUUUGGGGAAAGAUUUAUCGGGGAUGGAUGAGCCCGCGUUGGAUUAGCUAGUUGGUGGGGUAAAGGCCUACCAAGGCGACGAUCCAUAGCUGGUCUGAGAGGAUGAUCAGCCACAUUGGGACUGAGACACGGCCCAAACUCCUACGGGAGGCAGCAGUGGGGAAUAUUGGACAAUGGGCGCAAGCCUGAUCCAGCCAUGCCGCGUGAGUGAUGAAGGCCUUAGGGUUGUAAAGCUCUUUCAGUAGGGAAGAUAAUGACGGUACCUACAGAAGAAGCCCCGGCUAACUUCGUG